AUGCACGACAUUGCUCACAUUGCUUCCAGUAUUUUUAGCCAGCCUUAUGCGCUGGCUUUUUUUU
RNAcentral lists this non-coding RNA (64 nucleotides) under uncultured Ewingella sp. Lineage: Bacteria; Pseudomonadati; Pseudomonadota; Gammaproteobacteria; Enterobacterales; Yersiniaceae. The record is from RNAcentral.